This is a long non-coding RNA of Humulus lupulus (European hop), 638 nucleotides long. RefSeq lists it as uncharacterized. Lineage: Eukaryota; Viridiplantae; Streptophyta; Magnoliopsida; Rosales; Cannabaceae. The transcript is spliced from 2 exons. The record is from RefSeq and is a predicted model, not a curated record.
AUAUAUAAAAUAUAUUAAUUCAUCAUAGAUGAAGUGCUAUAAAUACAAUGUUAGUGUGUUAGGAAGAGAUACAAGCUUGUGAGAUAUAAUUAUAUAUAUGAUGAAAAUGGAGAAGAGUACUAAGAAUAGUGUGGUGAUGAUGAUGAGCUAUAUUAUAGUUGUUGUUCUUGUGUUUCUUCCAUCUACUAGUUUUGCAGGUGGCGGGAGAGCUCUGAAUAAUCUUCAACUUUACUCCUCAGAUCAUCCUGGACAGGCACAGGUCACUCUCACUGUCGAACCUUCUCUUUCAGAUAUAUUAUUGAUAGAAAGUUCAGGAAAGAAUGCUCAAUGCUUUGGUAAAUUUUGCGCGCCUUGGUCACCUUGCCAAUCUGGGUGUGUGUGUGUUGGAGUCGUUGGUACCGGAGCUUGUGCUGGACUCUAAUAUGUAUUCUAUGUAAUGUCGAUUGACGCCUACAUAUAUAUGAAAUAAUGUCAAUCAUAUAUAUAUAAUGCUAUUAGUAAUGAAUAAUGAUGUUACACAUGAUAUGACAUGAGCAGGCAUAUUUACGUACGGUGUAAAUAUGCAUGCAUGUUAUUAGUGUAACUUAAUUUAUGUAUGCCUUUAAUUCCUUGAUAAAAUGGAAUACUAUUAUUAAUUA